CCCUCUGACAGCCUCCCAGGCACAGAGGCCUUAUUCCCUUUACUUCACAUAGGGAAUGAUUCUUUGGAAAUAUUUCCAGACAACAAUUCCUAAAUAGAGACAAGACAGAUUUUUCUACUUUUGUAGAAAUUUACUUUUGUCAGCUGCAGUCGUUCUAGGCUGUGAUCAGGUCUGGAGAGUCGUUUAUUGAGGAGGAUCUUACGCCAAGCAACCAGUGUGUCGUCCCUGGGGAAGAGGCUGAAGAUCUGUUGGAGAGCUGACGGUGGAAACGGAUGUCUGUCUUCUGGAUUUGGGUGAUAUUUCCUCGUUUCCUAGAAAACUUGAAGUGGGUUCUGUCAUUAGGCAUGAUUGAGAGGGGAUACUUUUCAGCUGUGUAAAUAGCACAGCGGUUUCCUCCUGCCUUUCUUCUUUUCUAGCCAUGGUUCCAAGGCUUGUCCCUCCCAAGUGAGCAGGCAGCGCUGGAGAUGAGAACGAUCACUCCCGCCAUUACCAGGGAGGUGUGGGCCACUGCUAUUUCAGAGAUCCACUAGCCUGCCGCGAGGUCGGCGCGGGCCCGCUACGCAAAGAGCGCAAAGCUCCCAGCGCUGCGCACCACGGCCGCAGCAAGGCGCCAGAAUGGCGUUUCCCGAUGCCCAGGAUUUGGGAACCGCGGGUUUGAGUUUCAGGGCGUCCGGCAGCCCCAGGGAAACGUCGUCGCGGCUUAUCGCGCCAACUUUGUGCAGCUUCAACCUGAGUAAAAAAAUCUCCUUUGCUGUUGAGGAGGCAGCACCGCCGUGGUCUCCCUUGAGACAUCUUCCUCAGGUAGCCAGCAGGGCACUUUUUAUUUUCGGGAUUUCCCCCUGGGUUUAGGGCUUUUAUUUCCCAUAGAGACUUUAGUGAGACUUGUUUUACGGAAGGACCAGUUGAUUCCGGGACUUGAGGGCUCGAGAUCGCACGGGUUUAAUCUUCGGGAUUCCGUUUGUGUGGGGGCGCGGGGCAGGGACGUCUUGGGGAAGGGGACACGCUGGACCUUGGGGCGAGCGGACGGGUCCUGGGAGCGCCCGGGGCUGGGGACGCCGCGUACCGAGCCAGGAGGAGAGAGGCGCCCGUGCCUGCCCCAGGGUGUGCCAGGGGCUAAGCUUUCAGCUUCAGACGUCAACAUCGCUGAAACCAUAACUCAACUCAGUUUACUGAAAGGCCUUCCUCAGGACCCCACCUUGACUUGUGUUGCUGAAAAGAGAAAUGAGCAGUGUUGCCUACAAGGAAUAGAGAAGCAGAAUAUUGAACACUCUCCUCAAACUCAGUACCUACUAUCUUCAAGAACGUGACAGUCUGAAAAACAGAAUUCUUGGAAGCAUUCUGGAGAAAACUGAAAAAUAGUCGCCCUUCACAUCGAAGGUUAUAAGACCUCCAUUCCAAAAGGAGCUCUGCCCUAUGCCAGGGAGGAAGGAAUGCUGCACAGAGAGGUCAAGAAGAAUCUGACCAGAAAGGCCUUGCUGGGUUUCCCCACUCAGUCUAUUAGCAUUAGAGGUGCCAGCUAUGACCCUUACGAUAGGAACGAAAGAGAUCCACCAUUUCUGCCCCUAUAGUCCUGGUGAUGAGGAUGGGAUGGCUGAAGCAACUGACUCACCUACUGAUGAGGUCCCGGGACAACUGGCAAAAAGUUGGCAAAGAAAGACUGAGAGGACUGCAGGACCAUGUCAUUUGGAGGACAUCAAGCUAUUUGAUACCUGGCAAUCUGGAUGAAAGUAAGAGGAAAUGGCCAAUGAAAACUUAGUCAUUAACACAUAUAAUCAAAAGCCAUGAUAUGAUUAAACAAUGAGAAGAAAACUACAAUUAUUUGGGGACACAGGUCAUGAUGAUUCUCCCCAUUAAAAUCCACUGGAUGCUAUACAUGGUUCCUUUAGACUUGAUUCACUUUUAUUUCAUCAUUUUUCUUUUGUUUCUAAGACUUGAUAAUUUCAUUGUCCGAUCUUCAAGUUCACUAGUUCUUUCUUUUGUCUACUCCAAUGUGCCUUCAAAUCCCUCUAAUAAAAUGUUCAGUGUUCAUUUCAGUUA
Non-coding RNA from Macaca mulatta (Rhesus monkey), 2037 nucleotides. The record is from RefSeq and is a predicted model, not a curated record. Lineage: Eukaryota; Metazoa; Chordata; Mammalia; Primates; Cercopithecidae.